UACGUAGGGUGCGAGCGUUGUCUGGAAUUAUUGGGCGUAAAGAGCUCGUAGGCGGUUUGUCGCGUCGACUGUGAAAACCUACAGCUUAACUGUGGGCUUGCAGUCGAUACGGGCAGACUUGAGUUCGGUAGGGGAGACUGGAAUUCCUGGUGUAGCGGUGAAAUGCGCAGAUAUCAGGAGGAACACCGGUGGCGAAGGCGGGUCUCUGGGCCGAUACUGACGCUGAGGAGCGAAAGCGUGGGGAGCGAACAGG
RNAcentral lists this ribosomal RNA (253 nucleotides) under uncultured bacterium. RNAcentral describes it as "partial 16S ribosomal RNA". It matches the Rfam family "Bacterial small subunit ribosomal RNA", at positions 524 to 776 of the family's 1533-position model. The record is from RNAcentral.